ACGUUUGUGCCUACUGUUUUUUUUUUUUUUUUUUAAAUAUCUAUAAUUUAUUUUUAAAAAGGAGAUCCCUAAAAAAACAAAACUAGCAGGCAGGAGGUGUGAUUAACUUACCUCGAAAUGUUAUUGAUGAUAGGGGUGAAAAAAAUUCUAAUUUGAAAAUCAUUUUAGGUUAUUGAUGAGAAAGGUUGUUACUAUUGAGUGCACCCUAUUUUCAAAUUUUAAUUUGACAUUUUUUUUUAAGUUUUUCACAAGAGACCCUAUUCUAGACAAUUACCAACACUUUUAACACCUGGUAAAUUUGUUUUAGAAUUUGCUUUUGCAGUUAGGAUAUAUAAGUAUAUAUAGUGGGCACCCUAACUCUUGGUUCGAAACACAUUUACAAAUCAUAAAAGGUAUAUGUUACAGGUGGAUGAAAGGUUUCAGCUGGAGUUUUUGGCCGGAGUGAAAAACCAUUAUGUUGAAGCUGUUACUCAUGUUAUCAGAAAGUCACCCCUAAUAUUGAAACCACUUCUGAAGAAUUGCCGUUGCCUCCAGCCAGAAGAAAGGGUUUUACACCGCAGUUGUCGAGACAUUGUUGCUCUAGCAAAGGGUCUGCCCAUUGUAAUUGAUGAAAGUAUUCUGUUAUAUGAAUGGAAACUACUCCAGUGUGAAAAGGAAAGUGUGUGUGUAGUGGCCGUAUAGAUGACUACCGGGCUCAGUUUUUUGUUUUGAAGAACAGCAUUGGUGAUGUUAAAUACCCAAACGUUGCUAAAGUUGUAAAAUCUGUUUUGGCUCUUUCACACGGAAAUGCUGACUUAGAGUGAGGGUUUUCUUUGUCCUCCCACAUCUUAACUCAAGACAAAGCUUCCAUGUCGGAAAGAACACUCAAUGCAGCAAUGACUGUCAAGAGUGCAAUAAUGAAGAUGUACCACAGCAAGCCUGAUUUGGUUCCCAUUACAAGAGAGCUAUUAGCAAUGGCUCGUGUAGCUCAUAGUGCUACCUUACACACUUGCAAAAUGAGAAGGCUCUAAAAGAAGAAGCAGCUCGGAAGAAGUUGGAAACAGAUGAAAAUAAAUUAGUGGAAGCAGCAGAGAGAAUACAAAAACUGAAAGAUGAGAGAAAGAUAAUAGCUGGCGCUGAGAACAAAUAGAAGAGUUUGCAAAGUGAAGAGCAGCAAAAAAGAAAGACUGCAGAUGUACUUUUUGAGGAGUGAAUAAGAGAUUAAAGAGGGCUGAAGAAAAGAAAGAUAUGCAGGAAAUUGGAUUGGCCCAGGCCAUGUUGAAAGGUGUUAACAGUCAGAAAAGAAGCUGCAGAGAAGAAGCUUGAGGUUGAUACUGUACAACACUCAGUGGAGAAAAGGAAAUAUAAAAUUAUUUCUGACUAUUUUUCAAAAUACUCAAAAAAUUAGAUGUUUUGUGUUGAUGGAGUGUUGUGACAUAAGUUUGUUGAUGUUGAAAUGUUCUUAAAUUGGACUAGAUACAGUUUUGUAAUGGGCCUAUGGUGUCUUCUUAAUUAAUAUAAUUCUUAGUUCAUUUUAUAAGACAAUAUAAAAAUGUUAAUCUUGACCGAAUUUUCAUGGAAACCACUUUUAAGUCACAGUUUACACAGUUGACUUUUCUUUCACCAUCUUACGUAUGUGAAUAAUUUGUUUCUUUUAAUUUUGUGCUACUGGUGCAUAAUUUGUAACUUGUGUUUUUAAAUAGUUAAUAGAAUAACUGUCAGUAUUUUAUUAGAUCCAUAUAUAACCUAACAUUUUAUUUUACUACAAUCAGAAAUUUUUUGUAACAUUUAUUUCAGUUAUAUUUCAGAUCACCUUUUUAGUCACUUAUUUUCCUGGAGAUCACUUUUUUCUCACUUUUUCUAUCACAAAGGUCACUUUUCUCACAUUUUUCCAGUGAAUAAAGCACUUUGAGGCCUGAUAUAGGUACUGCAAGAAUCGUCCCCAGAUUCUCGGAGCACGUGGGACUGGCCUGCAUGAUAUCCCGAUAUGAAUCCCAUAGAGCAUUUGUGGAAUAGUGUAGGGAGACAUGUUAGGAGCCGUCACCAUCCUCCUCCUAGUGACUUAAGUCAGCUUCAAAUUGCUCUUCGUGGACAAUGGGAUGCGGUGUCGGUGGAGUUCUUAUUCAAAAUGUAAUAACUUCAAUGCCUGACUCGCUUAGUGCCAUUCGCCGUGCAAGAAGGGGUUAUACCCGUUAUUAGGGGCCAAUACUUGUCAGGGAACCUCGUGAAAACGAAUUAUCAGUUUUUAAAUAAAGUGUGAAUUUCGUAUUUUUGUCAUUUGUAUUUAUUUGUAUAGUAUUAUUAAUAAAAAGUAUUUGUGAUGAACUUUGUUUAAACAACCUAUAAAAAGAAACUAAUUUGUACCAAUAAUAAAAAUAAUAUAUAUAUUUAUUAUAACUAUAAGGAGAAAUCAGUGACUCCUUUUUUUUUAUUUUGCUAAAAUAAAAAAAAUUUGUGAUGAAAUGUUAACUGUUAAGUCUUAGAUGUUGAACCAGCUCAAUGAGGUUUAGGUUUGAUUGUAGGAAGUAUUUGCAGGCUGAUUUUUUUUUUUGUUUGAGCAAAAAUAAAUAUACAUAUACUUAAUGUUAUAAUAUGUGUUUUUUAAAAAUGUUGCAGUUUAAUAUUUUAGUAAUGUCAUAGAAGUAUAAAUUAUGUGUGUACCUUAGUACAUACUUUCAUUUCUUGAGAAAUCAUUAGUACCAUCUUGUUAAACAGAAUUAUUGUUGGUUUAUAAAGUGGGGAAAAUAUUUUACAGUUUUCACCUAAAAUGAAAACAUAAAAAGUUACAGCCAUUUUAAGAUAUUAAAAUAACGCCAUUCCUAAAGUGUCCCCAGAAGCAAAAAGGGUUUUACACCAAGAACAUCAGAAAACCAAUGAAUCACUCCAAAGCAAAAUUGAUACAAGUAUUUAUUUUUAACAACCAAUGGUAAAUUCUUGUUAAACAGAAAUAUACUUCUGUUUUAAAUUGUUGGAUGGGGGGGGGGAGGGGGGGAGAUUUUUCAAUUGUUCCCUUGAAAGAAUACUUCAGAAGAUAAAAGCACUUUACUGUUGUGGUGGUUGUAAUAUGUUCCAAUUUAUAUAUAGGUACAGUAAUUGUGUAAUAUAAAUAUUGAUGGUUUUAUAUAUAACACUGUGUAGUACUGACAUCGCCCUGGGCUGCACCCUUCUGAGCUCGAUGUGCCACCACCUCCCCCCUUACAAGCUGCGAGCCCCCUCCUUCCACCACCGCCCGCCAAAGUGUGUGUGUGUCGGCCCGCACCCGCCCGUGUGACGUCAGUGCUCUGCUCCCGAGAGUUGCCGAGCGAGGACGAAUGGGCAGUGAGUCGCGAGCGCUGCGAGAGGAAGGAGCUUCACGCACAUGUCAUCGUUUUCGGAGCUGUUUAGUGAUACAGGAGGAUACACACGGGUAACUUUUAACCACCUUUUCAGAGGAGGUAAACUGUUCCUUCUUUCUGUAUACUGCAUUUGGUAGGAGUAAUUACUUGAAACUGGAAUGGAAGUUAAUGAACAGAAAUAUGACACAAAGAUUGCGGACAUGCAUACAGCAACAAAAAACCCAUAUUUAGUCACUUUCGUCAACACAAGGUGAUGUGCCAAAUGAAUCUUUGUGAUCGUUCAGUAAUCCUUUAUAUUUUAUAAGUUAUAAUCAUAAAAAUAAAUAACGACAAAUUUAAUAUAUAUAUAUAUAAUAUAAUUUUGGCAAUCCUUGUAGAACAUUGACAUUUAGAAAUAGUGCAGCAUUUGCAUGAGUAAAAUAAAUUUGUGGUUAAAUUUUUACUGUUAAAUGUUAAGUCAGCUGAAUAUGUUUAAAGGGGUUAUUUUUUGGCAAAGGGGGGAGGAUAUACGUGGUGAUUUCCAUCAUUAAACAAAAAUAAAUAUAUAUACACAUACUAAGUAUCAUAUUAUAUGUUUUAAAAUCAUUCAGGUAAUAUUGUUUUAAUGUAUUAAAUUAAACUGCAACUUUUAGGUGGAAAAUUAUACAAAGUUAGCGCCAUGUUCACAAUGCUUUAAAGAGCCAAAAAAUGUUAAAUAUAUUGGAUGCCAUGUUUGUUCCAACAAAAUUGUUAUGGCUAAUAAAUUAUAGUUAUUUUUAAAGUUGCGAUCAUAACUUGUCAAUAAGUUUACAAAAUGUAUUCCAGGAUAGUUUCAUAGACGUUUAUGGGCAAGCGUUAGGUAUAGCACUGGCUACCAUGCUUACGUGUGCUAUAAUGUUAUGAUUUAAGAUUUUAGUUAUAUUUAUUUUUAUAAAAGUAUCUCUGAGCCCGUCUAUAAAAGCACUAGUGGCUAGCUGACGGAACUUAAUUGGUGCUUCUGGGUAGGUGAGGUGCACAAAUCGCUCGAUGUCAGCUUCGAAUUCUUGGAGGGUUUCCGAAGAUCUCUGUUGACGUGACUUCAGGGCUGUUCUGUACACCUCGCCCAUGUGUCGGUCGCCAUACCUCAGCUCAGGGGCCUCUACUAAUACCCCAUAUUCUUUCUGGUCUGUAACUGGUAUGGUCUGCAGCAGCUCUAGUGGAGAUCCUCGCAGAGCCAAGAUUAGUGCCGUAGCCUUUUCUACAUCGUACUUCCCUUCACUCGGAAGGGGGUGCGGCGUUUGUCCUAAAAUCGUUUGUCCUAAAGCGUUUAUCCUAAUUUCGUUUGUCCUAAAAAUUAGGACAAACGACGUUAGGACAAACGACUUUAGGACAAACGACAUUAGGACAAACGACUUUAGGACAAACGACGUUAGGACAAACGACUUUUAGGACAAACGACGGUUCCAGUAUCGAUAAAUCCUUACUCUGAGUUUUAGGACAAACGACUUUAGGACAAACGACAUUAGGACAAACGACUUUAGGACAAACGACAUUAGGAUAAACGACUUUAGGACAAACGACAUUAGGACAAACGACUUUAGGACAAACGACAUUAGGACAAACGACUUUAGGACAAACGACUUUAGGACAAACGACUUUAGGACAAACGACUUUAGGACAAACGACUUUAGGACAAACGACUUUUAGGACAAAUGAUUUUAGGACAAACGACAUUAUGAAAAACCAAGUUAGAACAAAUGACUUUAGGACAAAAAACUUUGAGUCAAACUAUUUUAUUUAAAAACCACAGAGCAUGUGAGAACUUACAGUAAAAGAAAACGUUUGAAAAAAUAAUGUUAUAUACUGGGGAAAUUACAUUCUAUGUAAAAAAAAAUUCAGCGUUUACGAUCGUUACAAUUUUUAGACAUCUAGGAAUAAACGACUACGGUUUCGACCUAAAUCUGUUUUUUUUUUUUGCCAUCUUGGAUCCGACAUAUUUAAAUAGAGCGCCCCACUCAUUAUGAUGAAAUUUUCGUCAUGACCGCCAUAUUGAAUUUUUCUGUUCCACUGGAGGCCGCCAUCUUGGAUGCCGUCGACUUUGUUUCUGUUCUUUGUUCCUAGAUAGUGCCAGCAACGCUCUUGAUUUUUUUUUGUUCUUCUGGAGGCCGCCAUCUUGGAUACCGUUGACUUAGUUUCUGCUGUUUGUUCCUAGAGAGCACCAGCCUAGCUCUUUUUUUUUUUUUUUUUUUUUUUUUUUGUUCUUCUGGAGGUCACCAUCUUGGAUACCAAGGACUUUAUUUCUGCUGUUUGUUCAUAGAGAGCGCCAGCGUCGCUCUGAUUCAUCACAUAAGCUCGAUGUUCCAUUACCUACCAUUGCUAUUAUGGUCCUUAUCGACAUAUUAAAUUUAAAUUUUUUAACAAAAUACAUUGGAAGCGCUGUGAUUCGAACCAUCGCAGCUCUGAUCUCUAGAUUGGAAAACAUACUCCUUUAACCGCACGGCCAUCGAGACAUUUACCAAACUGAGAAUAAAAAGGUAUAUAUAAAAAUAACAUGCAUAUUCGGAAAUGUAAUUUUUUUUUAUUUGAAGUAAUAAUAGCACCACCUGUUCGAGACAGAACCACCAUCAUGUAUUAAGACGUAACUGUAACAAUUAUCGUUAUGGUCACAAUCUUGAAUAUCCGUAAUUGUUUUGUUAGAAAAUCGGGAAAAAAUUUAAAAAUCAUUAAAAAAUUAAUCAAUCAAAUGAAAUAAUAAAAAUCUUAAAAAACACCGUUGCACUUUUCAUUACGGUCGAUAUCUUGAAAAUACAUAAUUUUAAUGCUAGAGAUUCGAAAAAAAAAUUACUUAUUAGAAUACUGAUUAAUUAGUUCGAUUCCUGUCCUUGAGUCGAAACUAUUAGAGCAAAAAAAACAGUGAAAUUUUCUUUGACCUUGAAAUAUGAUUUUACCUUGACGACCAUCAUGGAUCCGCCAUUUCUCGUUCAGUACAUGCUACCAGGAGCUACCACCUGCUAAAGGUCAUUGCCACCAUCUUGUUUUCGUCUGCUGGAGGACACCAUCUUGUGUGUGUACUCGUCUUAUAGACAUUACCAUCAUACUUGUCUAAGUUUUACUAAGGUUAAUUCUACUACAGGUUAGGAAGAAAACGGGUUUUCUUAUGGGCGAGUUUGGCACAGGGAAAAAUUCUGCCGCUAGGUGCGCUGGCGUAGCGAAAGGGUAACACUUUACACACUGCCAUUGAGGGUGAACGUGAGAAAACCGCAUUGAAGUUAAAUAAAAUAGUCGGUAUGGUAUUUAGUUAUGUGCUUUUUGUUUGCAAGAAUUAUAUUGAACAAGUCUUCCGUUAAGAACGUGUAAAUUUCACAACUUUGUGCCUUUUGGGCACGUAAAUAAAAGCUAUACUGCGUUUAUGUUUCGCCGCGAGCAAUCUGCAUAUGAAGGCUGUUGAUGGUGAAAGAAACAAUUCUGGCUGAUAUUUGGUGGAUAAUUCCCAUGUGUCAAUAUACUCCAAGAAACCAAGAAGUGUCUACAUAAGAAAUAAUCAUUAAGUAUUUUUCAUGUUCCAAUACAGGAAAAUCUUUAUUGUUAAGUGCAGAUUAUGAAUAGAAGCAAAUAUUUCUUUUAAUGUUAAAUUAUUACUGUAUUGUUUUUAUAUCAGUUAUUAUAAAAAUUAACUAAGCAAAUAAUUCUGAGUAGCCUAUUUGUUAUGUACAGACAUAAUAUUGAAAUAUUUCAAAAUUUAGAGUUUUACCUUUUCAUCAUCUGAUCCAACAGUCAGGCCUUUCCAUGGUUUGUUGUUGUCUAGUAUGGAAUAAACUUGUGCAACUUUUUCUAUGUAAUUUACGGUGCCAGAAAUAUUUUCUAUACCAGGCUUGUUACUGUAAAACUUCAAAGCUGCAGCUGUUUCCAUUGUGAAAAGCUACAAGCAUGAAAAUUUCAUUAUAAUUUUUACAGCAAUAAGAAAUUAUUUUUUUUUAAGGUGAGUUUCAUGUAAGUUUCUAACCAGUUUUAAUCAUGUAAUUACCCUCAAUGUAUUGUGUUUGUGUGAUACAUAAAUUAAAUUAUUAAGCUAGGUUGUUUGUAUAAAAAAAUGUUAAAUAUAAAACUAUACUGGUGACAUACAAUUUAUUAAUUUUUUUAGUUCUUAAAUAUAAUGUUUUCAUCAGUGAUUAUUGGAUUAUUUCAGUUAAUGCAUAUGCCCAAUACAAAUAACUUAAUAAUUUAACGUCUGGUGUAGCCUAGUAAGUUGAAUUUUAAUUUGUAGUAGUAUCAAAAUAAUUAAGUAAAACUUUUGUUGUCUCCCCAUGUUACAAAUAUAAAUAAUUAAUGGUAAAAAAAUAAACUGUCUAUAAAAUUA
RNA transcript from Bacillus rossius redtenbacheri, 7629 nucleotides. It is a transcript of the gene named gastrula zinc finger protein XlCGF57.1-like, with no coding region annotated. NCBI's taxonomy places the organism in Eukaryota, Metazoa, Arthropoda, Insecta, Phasmatodea, Bacillidae. The record is from RefSeq and is a predicted model, not a curated record. The transcript is spliced from 2 exons.